This is a non-coding RNA of Chlorocebus sabaeus (green monkey), 9484 nucleotides long. Lineage: Eukaryota; Metazoa; Chordata; Mammalia; Primates; Cercopithecidae. The record is from RefSeq and is a predicted model, not a curated record.
CCCGAUGGAGGGAAAUGGAGGCAGACCCACCCUGCAGGUCAUCACUAGGAAGGAGAAGUGGCUCAUGUCCUGGAGACGAAUACUCCCCUGGAGGUGGUGUGAAGGGGAGAUGGCUGCUUUCUCCUGGGAAGGGAGCAGAUGCCUGGCCCAGGACCAAAUCAAAAGCUGAGGCUCACUGCCCCCAGUGGGCAGUGGGUCCGGGGGUUUCUGAGGCCAGGGCAUGGCCCAGUCUUGCUGCCCCCAGGAUGGCACCUGGCUUGGAGGCGUGAGGGGCCCUGUUAGUCUGACUUUGAAGAAGACCAGCCUUCCAGACUCACUUGGUGCCCUGCCAGAAGCCCUGGGCUCCCCCAGUGUUGCCUGUAUCUGACUUUGCCUCAGUGAAAACCACCUUGAAUUCUUUCUUGCACCGAUGGGCAGAUGGGCAGUGUCAGAGGAUCGUGUCGUCUGCCCUGUUGCGCUGGUUGGCUUGGUCAAAUCAGUGUUCAAACUAUCUCCUGCCCUUUCAAGAGGAUCUGGGGCUCUAGAAGAUUAGAGGACUUUGAGAGGUUAGUGACUUGCCCAAGAUCGGCUAGGAAGCAAGACCCAGGAUUCCAACUCAGGCCUGUUGUGAGAAUCAAACGAGAUAAUGUAUGCUGAGGCAUGCUGUGAACACUGCGUGCUGGGUACAGGAGGUACAAUAUUAAUGAUCCCUGCUGCUUGGAGGGAACUUGCACUUAAAAUGUUAUGCUUUUCAUUUUCACACCACUUAGGAGGGAGGAAAGGCUGGUGGGAUGAUCGCCACCUGAGGCUCAGGAAGGGGACAGGUUUUCCCCAAGGCCCCACAGUAUGAAAAAGGCAGGAGCAGGGCGCCACACUGGUGGUCUUCCCACGACUCUCUCAUGAAAGUCCCCCAACGGACAGAUUGAUGUGUAUAUGACAUUAUAUACGUAUACCAUAACGCUAUAUAAUAUAUAGAAUUAUUUUCAGGUCCCUGAGUUGCUCCGAGGCCAGUUGUGGCAGAUGGUGCACACCCAGGACAGGCUUCGGGGAUAGGAAGGAAACUGGCUGUGUAUCAUUGCGAAGGCCCGUAGUGAAGCCUCUUUUGGUUUCUUGGAAUCAAGUUUGAACAUCAAGAAUCUCACGCAUAGACUUCUCCAAGGGCAGUCCGAUUUCACAAAAUGAAUUUUCAUUUUCCAAAGCGCAUCCCUUAGUUGGAUUUCUGUUUUUCAGGGUAGUUGUUUAAGCUCUGAUGCCGUGUCCAAAAAAGAACAGACCCCCAACGAUUCCCUGCCCGAGUCCCAACCCUUGACUUGAUUUGAGCAUUGAGCUAAUUCAUUUCUUUGAUCAAACUGGGGACUGUUUAACCAGUCAGGUGGGCGUCAUGGGACGGGGAAAGGGCGGGGUGUGCGCAGGUGUGCAAGGCAGGCUACUUGAGGGAUGGGCGAUAGUUCAGGUCACCCUCCGGUUGGACCCACGAGGGCGCUGCGUUCCUCGUUCUACAAAUCGUACAAGUCGGGGCACAAGACAGAGAAGCCAGGUCACGUCUCUGCAGUUACACAGCUCACGAGUGCCUGCUGGGGUGGAACCUGGUCUGUCUGUCUGUCUAACACCAGAGCUCGGGCGCUGCUGCAGAGGGAGCCAAGAUUUGGGUGAGGGAGGGGCUCAGACGUGGGGUGGAGGGUUUUGUUUGUUUGUUUUUUUAACCUGGUUGCCAUUGGCGUGAAAAUAAUAACAUUACUUUGCUUGGGGACUAGUGCUGCGACUAUCUUGCUGAUGGGGAAACAGGCACAGAGACGUUAGCUCGUUUUCCUGAUGUCACCCAGCUAGUCUGGCGUUGAGGCUGGAUUUGGGAGGUGGGGACUGAGGUGUGAGCAUAUGUGCUGUACCCGUUGGGCCCACUGACUCAUGAAGUGAGCACAGGUGCAGAUGGCUCAGCGAUCUGGGUUUGAGGGCUUUUACCAACCCCCCAGCCGUGAGUGUGCUCUGAACUCAAGCUUGUAUAUUUCACACUCUCCCUUGACCCUUCUUUUUAGCCUUCUCUGAAAACUCCUGCAAGCCACUGAUCCAUGGAAAAUAUUUAAGAAUACAUAUAUUACAUAUAUGUUGUAAAUUUACAUAUAUAUAUAUCUGGAAAGGGAUUGUAUCCAGAAUAUUUGGGAGUGGUUGUUUAAGGUAGAGGGAGGCGGGGGCAUGAGAGGGGGAGGGAUGGAGGUGGGGACCACCAGUGUUAAUUGUCAUGGGUGGUUUUAACAACCGAUACAAUAAGAGAGAGGCAUGCCAGCGGGAAGGAUGGGAGUGGGUUGUAAACCAGGGAUGGUGAUUAAUUCUCCACAACUGAGGGGCAUUAAAAAAAGAGAUCAGAGCAGUUUGUGGCUAUUAAUUUUGUUGUUAAAAAUAAUCAAGGAAUAAAGAAAUAAGGUAAUAAAGACCUCGAAUGGAAUAAUUUUGAGAAUGUGUUCUAGGCAAAGGAUUAUGACUAAUCCAGGUCUGGUAACCUGAUAUUAACAAACAAAAAAGGCGUCGAAGGCUAUUUUAUUUUUUUUAACCAGCUUUAUUUUCCAUAGAAUGGGCACACUGGGGUUUCUCUGCCAGAGAAGGUGAGUGCAGACAAAUAAAAGCCGGCUUCAUGGGUGUUGACUGAACAGUUAAAAAUGAAUGAAUGUGCAAAUAAAACUAGAGACAGCCAAGCAUGUACCAAUGAUGGCAACGUGUUCCUCACUCCCCAGCUUCAUAAAUAUAUCAUUGACAAAUAAAUAUUAUAUGUAUUUGUAUUGUAUGUAUUUAAGUUGUACAGUGUGACAUUUUGAUAUACAUAUAUAUUGUGAAAUGAUUACCAUAAUCAAGCAAAUUAACAUAUCCGUCAUCUCAUAUAGUUCCCUUUUUCUGUGUGUGCAGUGAGAACACGUAAGGUCUACUCUUUUAGCAAAUUUCAAGCAUGUGGUACAUUAUUAUUAACUGUAGUCACCGUACUCUGCAUUGGGUCACCAGAACUUACUCCGAACUGAAAGUUUGCAUUCUCUAAGAUCUCCAGAUUCCUCUCACUCCUGACCUCUAGUAACCACCUUUCUAGUCUCUGUUUCUGUGAGGUUAUUCCAAAACAAAAGCCAGGUUCUAGGCUGUUGAGGUUGACAGUAGGCAGUAUAUCAACAGGUAUACAGAAUAAUCACUGGUCUUGGGCUAAAUGGUGACUUCAAGUCUGGUGGCUGCAUAGUUAAAAAUGAAUUCAAUGAGUACAAAAGUGAUGAAAUGAAAGAAUGUCAAGAAUGGACCACAAAGACAAUGUUUUAUGACCUAAAGAUUAAGAUUCAUCCACUUAUGUACAAUUAUGGACUAUUUAAAAUAAAACAAGACUUUUAUGUUAGUGGAUAAGAAGUAUUUGGAUGUACUAAUCAAUAUUUUUGUUCUGGAUCAGUGGUGGGUUCAUCUGUGUUUACUGUGUUUAAAAAAAUAAGUGAAAAGAUUGAAAAGGGUGAGCAGGAGUCAAAUAUGAUUGUUACUCCAAGUCUGCAUCAUCUACGUCUGUUAGGAAGAAUAUCUGAGUUGGCUCCUUCUUGGGUAAGAUGCGUAGGGACCGAUGUUUGUGAUAGUCAUGAUUCUUGUUUUUGAUUAGAGUGGUGAAUUAAUACAUACUCGUUGUAAUAAUACAAAUUAAUAAAUGAAUAAUUGAAUACAAGGAGAGCUGUGAUUGGGCCAGUGGUGAGACUGUCAUGAACUAAAGAUUAUGAUUAAUACUGUGCUUCUCACCUGAUGGCCAUUAAAAAUAUCUAGUUUUUUUCAUCCUUUUUAGUAUCUGCCUUGUGUUCCACAGAAUGGAGGCUCCAGAGUGACAUUAAUGACAUGUUGUCGAUGAAGAUCUUGAUUGUGACCUCUGUGGAAAAUAAGCCAUGAACCAACCAAGGAUAAGUCUACUUUUCUUCCACGUAGCAACCACAGGAUAGAUGACAUUCAUUUUCUAAGAAACAAAAUCUUGGCAGUUAGAUCCGUGGGGUAAAGAAUAUAGAUACUAAUAAUGAAAACCAUGUAGCUGGUUUUAUUAUUCUCUAAUCAUGAAGACCAUUAUUGUUAUUUGGUGGACUAAGGAACAGAAUGACUGAUAGUGGACAUAGGCUAGCUGAUUUAAUAAUUUAAGAAAGAGUUGUUAUCCUGAGUAAGGAGCAUAGAGACAAAUAUAAAAUGAACGCACUCUACCUGAUUUAAUUAUAAUCUUCUAGUGAAGAUCUUGCCUUUAUCUCUGUGAAUCAGCAGAGAAGAGAUCAAUAAAGACUAGAUGAGAUUGGAUUUGGUCAUUUCUCCAAGGUGAAGAGCAUGACGAUUUCUUCUGUGGUAAGAAGCAAUAAUGAAGACCAUGGCUGAUUUAAUCAGUCUCUGCUGAUGAAGAUCUUGGCUGUUACCUUUACGGAAUGGAUGCGCAAUGAUUCAAUUAUUCUCCAGCGAGGAAGAUCAUGGUUGUUGUCUGUUUGAGUAAUGAGUGUAGAAACCUAUAAUGGAGGCAUGAUGGCUGAUCCAAUCAUUUUCCACUGAUGAAGGUUUUGGUGGCUACCCAUAAUGAACAGCCCCAUCUGAUUUAAGCACUGUGCUAUGACCAUGAACGGUAUGGUUACCUCUAUGUGUCACAGGAAGACUCUUAAUGGAUGCACUGAGCUGACUUAAGCAUUCUUCUAUGAUCAAGAUUAAAUGUCCUUCUUAGGAAAGAGACCAAUAAACGAAUGAAGAAAAGGGACCCAAACAUGGACCAAUGAUGACUACUGAUGGCGUUUGAGUCAUGGACGAUGAAUACUGUGUGUCUGAAACUCUGAGGUCCAACAGAAAACAUAAUUGGAAUGGAUGCACUUGAGCUGACCUAAGCAUUCAUGGUCAUGAGAUUCAUGGUUGCUACUGUUGGUUAGGAGCAUAGAGAUCAGUAAUGGACACAUCUGGGCUGGCAGAACAUCUGGCCUUGAUCUGGAGCCCCAUGUCUUCCCUCUGUAGAGGUGCACAUGAGCCAGUUUUUCAGAAUGGAUGCAGUGAGCUGAUCAUUUCUCUGUGAUCAAGGCUGUGUUGCCUCUGUGUUAGGCCAAUGUGAGUAAUGGUUCCUGUCUUGGUUUAGGUUGUUUAAUAGUAUUCCUGGUGUUAUUAAAAAUUAUUUAAUAUAAUAAAAAGUUAACUGGUUCAAUGACAACGUGCGACAUUGAGGUUAAUUAAUCAAAGAGAUAUAGUCUCUGUGGGAAAUGAUCCUGUAGACAAAUGUAAGGAUUCUUCAAAUAUCUUGUUCUUGGGUUUUUGAAAUCCUGUAUUCAUUUUAUUAUCAAAGAACAAAUGAUUUAUUCAAUAAAUAUUUAGAAAUGAAUGAUGAAAGAGAGACCCAGCUAUGGAUCAAUGUUGACAACUGGUGGCAUAAAAGUCAUGGAUGAUGAAUAUGAGAAGAAAAUAAUCUAGGUUUUUGCUUCUGUUGGAAAUGAUCCUGUAGACAAUGUCAGAAACAUACAAAGAUCAUUUUCUUAUCUUGGGGUCAUAGAUUUAGGUUUAUUAUUACUAAUAUAUGACUGAUAGAACCAUUAAAUAAAUAUAAACAGAUAAAAAUACAAGUAGAGGUUAACUUCUUGGACCUCAGAGUUCCAGACAUAUAUUGAUCAUCUAUGACAUGAAUGAUGCGAUUCCAUAGAUAGAUGUUAGGGAUAUAAGAAUCUCUUUGAGAUUUUUUGAUUCACAGAUAAUUAUUUUAUUAUGUUUGAUGAAUUGAGAAUUAAUCAAUAAGCAAAUAUAAAGUAGUAUGAGGAAAAAGACAUGUAAACUUGAACCAAUGAUUGAUGGUUUAGAAGUCGUGGGUGAUGAAUAAUAUGUGUCUGGAACCUAAAGGUUUGCAGAAAACAAAAUCUGAUCUAUUUCUCAGGGUCAUUUGCAAACGGCGAUCAAUGUUUGAAAUGAUAGAUUGAUGUUAAGAAUAUGUAAGAAUCUACUUCUUUUAUUUUGGAUUCAUGGAUUUACAUAUUAUUAUUAUUUAAAAUUGAUCCAUGAUGAAAGUAUUAAAUAUAUAAUUUGACAAAUACGAAGAUGGUGUGAUGGACUUCAACCAUGUGAUGAUUCAAGAUAUACUAUCAACAUAAAAUGAAACACUAGCUCCCAGUGUGGUGAAAUCCUGUCUCUACUAAAAAUCCAAAAAAAUUAGCCGGACGUGGUGGUGCACGCCUGUAAUCCCAGCUACUCGGGAGGCUGAGGCAGGAGAAUCACUUGAACUCAGGAGGUGGAGGUUGCAGUGAGCCAAGAUUGCACCAUUGCACUCCAGCCUGGGCAAGAAGAGCAAAACUCCAUCUCAGAACGAAAUGGACCCAAGGGUGUUACCUCUUUUUGAUUAGUGAUCAUAUAGAUGCUGGGAAGUAGGAGUCAAUUUUAUUGCUUGAAUCAGUCCAUUUGAGGUUGUUUGUUUUGUUCAGAAUGAACAUAUAUGUUAUGAAAAGUUAAUAAAUAACUAAACUAUGGUUUGGAAUAAAAUAUGGAAAGCAAAAUUGACAAAGAGGUAUUAGUUUUGAAAAUCAGCUGCUUUGCUUUGUACUUCUUAGACGGGAUGCACUGGCGCUGAUUUAAGAGUUCUCUUAGUCAAAAGACAUAUGGUUGCCUCUGUGUAGGUUCCUGGAGACCAAUGUGAGUAUGAGUCAAUAUUCUUGUCUUGGUUUGAGUGUUUUUUUAAGAGCUAUCACUGUGUUAUUAUACACUUUGACAUAUAAUCAGUUAAUAUCUUAAGAAUGGAAUUGGUGUAAUGCAUUAUGUUGAUUAAUCUGUAUGUGAAACACUGUGUUAAAUUAAUAAAAUAUAUCUAGUGUCUAUGGGAAAUAAUUUGUAGACAGAUAUUAGAUAUUCAAGAAUCUUGCUCUUGAGUUCUUCUGACUCUUUGGUAUUUACUUAUUUUUAUUAGUGAGUUGAUGAAUUCAUCUGUCAAUAAAUGAAGACAUGAAUGAAGAAAAAGAGCUCCAAGUCUGGACCAAAGAUGAAGUUUGGUGAUGUAUGAAUCAUGAACAAUAAAUACCUGUGUCUGGAACUUUGAGGUCCAACAUGAAAACUAGUUUGCUCCCUAUGAUGUAACUGAUGUAUAUAUAUAAGAAAUAGCAAAGAUCUGGUUGUGUUUCAUAGCUAUCGAUUAUAUCUUCAUAAGUUGGUUAGUGUGCAAAUAACCAAAGAAAUGUAUGAAUACAUGAAGAAAAUGGAACCAAGUAUAGACUAAGUAUGUCCCCUAUAAAGUUGCUCUGAUUUAGAAACAAAUUUUUGGAUUUUACUAGUUUUAUUAAGAUCGGCUAGGCAUUUCUGUUCUAGAUUUCUGAAAAUGAAAAUAUUACUCAUUUUCUUGAAAAAGAAUAGAUGGUUGGAAAAAUUAAUUCAUUUGUUCCUGAAUUAUAAACUCAUUUAUACUAAUAAUGAAUGAGUUAAUAGAUAAAAAGGUCAAGAACUGACCACUCAUGAGAAUGUGUUAUAAAGCCAGGAAUGAGAAGAAGCUGAUUCUGUAAGUCGAAGCUAACUUGCAGAGAAUACCAAGACGAUUAUAUGUGUGAGUGGAGGCACUGAGGCCAAUAUGUCCCAUAGUCAGAUGUUUUUCUUAAUGCAGGUGAUGGAUUCAAGAAUGUUCACUAUUUGAUGUAAAAUUAAUAACUGAAAUAAUUCAAUAAAUAAAAGGAGAGUGAAUCUAAUUUAAGGAUAGGGAGUGUCAUGAACCAAUGUUUGAGAUGAACCUAACCCUUAUCAUUUCAUAUUUAUUCAGACACAGCCUGAAUCUUGUUGUUUCAUACCUUUAACAUUUACUUUGUACUUCUCAGGGUUGAUGUUCAUGGGUGAUUGAUCAUCCUGUAGCGACGGUGGUAUUGACUGUUCCACAGCGGACAAGGAGUGCGUUCUUAUAUAAGUCAUAGUUGACAUUCUUGUUUUUGAUUGGGUAGUUUGCCUGUUCAUUGAUAUUCAUAGUACUAUAGAAGGUAGAUAAAUGGCCACAUACCUAAAUAAAAUCAAAGGAGACAAAAGGUGAGAAUCUGUUAUAAACUAAGGAUUAUAAUUAAUCUAAUUCAGUACAACUGUGGAAAAUUUUGAAAAGAUAAAGAUUGAUGUCAUUUUAGUCAUUUUAUGGAUAAACUAAAAAUGGGACAUUUUUGAUAUCCCAUUUUAGCAUUUUUCAUAGUUUACACAAACGUUCCUAUAUUGCUAGAUAGCCUAGUCUGUUAACCCCCUGAGGAAGAGCAUAUAUGAAGUAAAUACUUGUCAUUAUCAUAGUAGGGUCUAUGGAUUAGACCCAUAGUGGAUUAUUCUUCCGGUUUAUUGUUACAUCUUCAUAGAAUAUAUAAUUUAAACAAAAAGGUUCAAGCAUGGACCAAUGACAUAACUGAAAUCAAAUCUGGACAAAUGUAUAUAAUUAUUAUAUUUCACAACAUUUUUAUAGUUAAUUACAAAAAAAGACCUAGUCUAUUACAUUGUUUAUUACCUCUCUUGGAAAUGAACCCACUGACAGAUAUGAAGACUAUUCAAGAAACUUGUUUAGGGGCUUUGGUGGAUUGUUAACACAUACUAAUUUUAUUAUCAGUGGAUCAGUAUGCAAAAACAUCAUGUAAAUUAAUGUAGAUAAAUAUGUCUAAGUGUGGUCUCAUUUUGAGUGUAUUUACUGGAAGAAGAAUUAUUAUGACAUGUCUCAAAUGUUAUGAUCCAUUAGUAAAAAUAGACAAAGCUUGUGACCCAAGUCAGUAACCUGCAUAUACACAUAUGUGAAUACUCAUUGUCUUUAUUUCUGGAGCUUUUUAGUUUAUACUUGUUUUCGUUUUUUCUUUUAGUAAAUUGAAAACAUUAUAUAAAUACAUAAAUCAAAACACAGGUAAGGAAAUGAGAGGAAGCUAAGCAUGGACUAUUUAUGAGGAUGUGUUUUGAAGCAGGGAUUAUAGCUUAAUCCAUUUUAGUACAAUGGCGCACAAUUUAAAAAGAGAUCAGUGUUUUCCAUUCUCUUUUCAUGGCUAUAUAUUAUUCCAUUUUAGGUUUUACUCCUGUUUAUGCAACAUUCCUUGAUGGAUAACAAUCUAUGGGUUAGAUCCAAGGCUUACAAUUUAGGCGGUUGUGUUUUCGUAAGUCAUUAUCAAGAUUUUAGAUGUGAAUGCAGUGGUGAAUUGAUGGUUGUUCAUUGUUCCAUCUUAAAAGUAUGUACAUAUUAAAUGAAGAAAAGGCCAAACACCAAUCAGUGAUAUGAAUAGAUUGAUUGAUCAGUUUUAUGAUUAAAUUCAUUUCUGCAUCCCUGCAAUUUAUUUAAAAAGGAGAUUUGGUAUGUUAAAUCUACAGGAAUUUGUCUGCAGACAUAUUUCAGUAAUAAUCCAAGAACUGAUUUAUGGGGUUUUGUUGGGUUGAUUAUUAUGCAUCAAUGGUAACAUCAAUAAACACAUAAAUAAAUGAAUAAAGAGGAAAAGGACAAAAUUGGACUAAUUGUCCAAAUAGAUUAUGAUGGAAAAAAUUUGUUAAUGUAAUUCUGAAAACUAAUAUUUAUUAAAAAAUAAACAGAGUAUCUGAAGGA